AGCGUAGGCGGCGUGGUAAGUCAGAUGUGAAAUCCCGGGGCUCAACCCCGGAACUGCAUCCGAUACUGCCAUGCUAGAGUGAUGGAGAGGUAGCUGGAAUUCUUGGUGUAGCAGUGAAAUGCGUAGAGAUCAAGAGGAACACUCGUGGCGAAAGCGAGCUACUGGACAUUUACUGACGCUGAGGCUCGAAGGCCAGGGUAGCGAAAG
RNAcentral lists this ribosomal RNA (207 nucleotides) under uncultured bacterium. RNAcentral describes it as "partial 16S ribosomal RNA". It matches the Rfam family "Bacterial small subunit ribosomal RNA", at positions 568 to 774 of the family's 1533-position model. The record is from RNAcentral.